ACACCUCAACUCCUCAUGGCUUGCCAUGAUGAGCUUGGACUUGGGGGUCUUGCUGGCCUGUGGUCAGCUCCUCUCAAAUGAAUCAGCUUGCCAGUGAUUGGUGGCACCACAGGUGUGAUAAACAUCUACGCUUGUGGUUUCCACCAUGCAACCUUCAGUGAUGAAGGUGCGCUGGAGCUCACAAAUGUCCCUCCUCAGUGAGGACAGCUUCUGAAC
RNAcentral lists this unclassified non-coding RNA (216 nucleotides) under uncultured Tomentella. RNAcentral's name for it is "sequence contains ITS2". The record is from RNAcentral. Lineage: Eukaryota; Fungi; Basidiomycota; Agaricomycetes; Thelephorales; Thelephoraceae.